This 77-nucleotide small RNA is filed under the name Xanthomonas dyei pv. eucalypti. RNAcentral describes it as "sX9 sRNA". It matches the Rfam family "Xanthomonas sRNA sX9". Lineage: Bacteria; Pseudomonadati; Pseudomonadota; Gammaproteobacteria; Lysobacterales; Lysobacteraceae. The record is from RNAcentral. RNAcentral also lists the same sequence under 2 other names.
AUGGACCUCUCGUACACUCCGGUUCCGAGAGCGCCGUCCACACCCACCAGCGCACUGCUUGCUACGUUGUGUGAGCA